CUGGCGGCACGCCUAACACAUGCAAGUCGAACGAAGUAGCAAUACUUAGUGGCAGACGGGUGAGUAACAUGUAGGUAUCUACCCUUUGGCCUGGAAUAACACGAGGAAACUUGUGCUAAUACCGGAUAAGUCUUUACGGAGAAAGCUUUAUGCACCAUUGGAUGAGCCUGCACUUGAUUAGUUUGUUGGUGGGGUAAUGGCCUACCAAGACUUUGAUCAAUAGCUGAUUUGAGAGGAUGAUCAGCCACAUUGGGACUGAGACACGGCCCAAACUCCUACGGGAGGCAGCAGUGGGGAAUCUUGCACAAUGGAGGAAACUCUGAUGCAGCGAUGCCGCGUGAGUGAAGAAGGCCCUUGGGUUGUAAAGCUCUUUCGUCGGGGAAGAAAAUGACUGUACCCGAAUAAGAAGGUCCGGCUAACUUCGUGCCAGCAGCCGCGGUAAUACGAAGGGACCUAGCGUAGUUCGGAAUUACUGGGCUUAAAGAGUUCGUAGGUUGUUGAAAAAGUUGGUGGUGAAAUCCCAGAGCUUAACUCUGGAACUGCCAUCAAAACUUUUCAGCUAGAGUUUGAUAGAGGAAAGCAGAAUUUCUAGUGUAGAGGUGAAAUUCGUAGAUAUUAGAAAGAAUACCAAUUGCGAAGGCAGCUUUCUGGAUCAUUACUGACACUGAGGAACGAAAGCAUGGGUAGCGAAGAGGAUUAGAUACCCUCGUAGUCCAUGCCGUAAACGAUGUGUGUUAGACGUUGGAAAUUUAUUUUCAGUGUCGCAGCGAAAGCAAUAAACACACCGCCUGGGGAGUAC
RNAcentral lists this ribosomal RNA (799 nucleotides) under uncultured Pelagibacteraceae bacterium. RNAcentral describes it as "bacterial SSU rRNA". It matches the Rfam family "Bacterial small subunit ribosomal RNA", at positions 36 to 883 of the family's 1533-position model. Lineage: Bacteria; Pseudomonadati; Pseudomonadota; Alphaproteobacteria; Candidatus Pelagibacterales; Candidatus Pelagibacteraceae. The record is from RNAcentral.